UGGACAGAUUAUUGUAUUCGACUGUAUUCACGACGUGAAAUAGGGGAUUACAUUGUUUUUAAACGGAAAGUGAAUCAAUUAACAUAAUAGACUCCU
Molecule: microRNA precursor, 96 nt
Filed under: Nicotiana sylvestris (wood tobacco)
Lineage: Eukaryota; Viridiplantae; Streptophyta; Magnoliopsida; Solanales; Solanaceae
Description: MIR6152 microRNA precursor family
Rfam family: MIR6152 microRNA precursor family
Source: Rfam by way of RNAcentral